RNAcentral lists this ribosomal RNA (436 nucleotides) under uncultured bacterium. RNAcentral describes it as "bacterial SSU rRNA". It matches the Rfam family "Bacterial small subunit ribosomal RNA", at positions 97 to 518 of the family's 1533-position model. The record is from RNAcentral.
GGCGAGACGGGUGAGUAACGCGUGGGUAAUCUACCUCAAAGACUGGGAUAACUACUGGAAACGGAUGCUAAUACCGGAUGAUUCAUAUUUAGAUAACUAGAUAUGCUAAAAGGAGCUUUUUGCUUCACUUUGAGAUGAGCUUGCGUUGUAUUAGCUAGUUGGUGGGGUAAUGGCCUACCAAGGCAACGAUGCAUAUCCGAGCUGAGAGGCUGAUCGGACACAUUGGGACUGAGACACGGCCCAGACUCCUACGGGAGACAGCAGUUAGGAAUAUUCGUCAAUGGGGGAAACCCUGAACGAGCAAUGCCGCGUGAAUGAUGACAAUCCUCUGGAUUGUAAAGUUCUGUUGUAAAGGAAGAAACCUUACUAUAGGUAAUGAUAGUAAGCUGACGGUACUUUACCAGAAAGCCCCGGCUAACUACGUGCCAGCAGCUGC